GGGGUGUGCUCAGAGCAGGUGGCNNNNNGGCUUCUCUGUUCACAACACAUCCAACAGGAAUCUAGGGUCACUGUGAGAGGGACACACAACUUAUGACUUCCCUCUGAGCAAAUGUCCUACACGU
This is a small nucleolar RNA of Cavia aperea (Brazilian guinea pig), 124 nucleotides long. The record is from Ensembl. Lineage: Eukaryota; Metazoa; Chordata; Mammalia; Rodentia; Caviidae.